This 68-nucleotide transfer RNA is filed under the name Botrylloides leachii. RNAcentral's name for it is "transfer RNA-Asp". The record is from RNAcentral. Lineage: Eukaryota; Metazoa; Chordata; Ascidiacea; Stolidobranchia; Styelidae.
AAAAGUCUAAGAUAAGUGUUUAAAGUCUGCUAAGUUGUCUACUUUGUUGUCCCUUGGGGGGGCUUUUU